Molecule: long non-coding RNA, 622 nt
Organism: Octopus sinensis (East Asian common octopus)
Lineage: Eukaryota; Metazoa; Mollusca; Cephalopoda; Octopoda; Octopodidae
Exons: 3
Source: RefSeq, a predicted model, not a curated record
UAGAAGUUCCUCGCAGAAUUUAAUGCCGUCAACGAACACGCUUGAUUAUAUCAUCUUUGCGUCAUCGCUUCCCCCAGGAACAUACCUAGUAUGGCGAUCCGGCGAUCCUUCGGUAUAGGUACCACUUUAUUGGUCAAAUAGUAAAGAGAUUCCGUAUCGAAACAGCGGCUGAACACAGAAAAUCAGUUUCCUCUCUUCCUUAAUUGCAAUCACAGAAUUCAUGACGUGGCUUAGAAUCGCUUCAAAAUCCGUCUCAAACCGAAAACCUUACAACGAGAUGAUUACUUUCAUCAUUUCGUAAUGAAGAUCAACGCACUAAUUCCCGAUUUAUAUCCGAGAGGGACCUUCAAAUGACAUUCGUGUGAAGGAGUUUUCCUCAUCAACCGAAUCAUCAAGAUGCAUUUCCUAAGAAGUAACUUUGCUGAUAUAAACUUACAGCAGAAUUACUGUGAACUAUUUACUCUGAACUGUAAAAUUAAUAGCAAAAUUCACCACUUCAGUGAAACAUCUCAUCAUCAUCAUCAUUGUUCAACCGUGGUCAAGACAAUGGAAUUUACCAUGCUACGCCAGACUUCACGGUCCAUCAUGGCAUUACAGAGGUCCUGUUGCUGGAUGCCUGUAU